RNAcentral lists this ribosomal RNA (492 nucleotides) under uncultured bacterium. Its description in RNAcentral is "partial 16S ribosomal RNA". It matches the Rfam family "Bacterial small subunit ribosomal RNA", at positions 29 to 507 of the family's 1533-position model. The record is from RNAcentral.
AGUGAACGCUGGCGGUAGGCCUAACACAUGCAAGUCGAACGGCAGCACAGUAAGAGCUUGCUCUUACGGGUGGCGAGUGGCGGACGGGUGAGGAAUACAUCGGAAUCUACUUUUUCGUGGGGGAUAACGUAGGGAAACUUACGCUAAUACCGCAUACGACCUACGGGUGAAAGCAGGGGAUCUUCGGACCUUGCGCGAUUGAAUGAGCCGAUGUCGGAUUAGCUAGUUGGCGGGGUAAAGGCCCACCAAGGCGACGAUCCGUAGCUGGUCUGAGAGGAUGAUCAGCCACACUGGAACUGAGACACGGUCCAGACUCCUACGGGAGGCAGCAGUGGGGAAUAUUGGACAAUGGGCGCAAGCCUGAUCCAGCCAUACCGCGUGGGUGAAGAAGGCCUUCGGGUUGUAGAGCUCUUUUGUUGGGAAAGAAAAGCAGCAGGUUAAUACCCCGCUGUUCUGACGGUACCCGAAGAAUAAGCACCGGCUAACUUCGUG